Long non-coding RNA from Triplophysa dalaica, 2808 nucleotides. RefSeq lists it as uncharacterized. The transcript is spliced from 5 exons. The record is from RefSeq and is a predicted model, not a curated record. Lineage: Eukaryota; Metazoa; Chordata; Actinopteri; Cypriniformes; Nemacheilidae.
UUAAAAAUUACCAGCAUUUCACAAUAAUUAACAGUAUUAUUUUACAGCAACUUGUUGUAAUUAAGUUUCCCUGUAAUAUCCCAAUGAAUACCUGUAAAAACUACAAUAUCCUUGGAUUUUACAACAUUUAACUCUUAUUUUACAGUAAAAUCUUGCAAUCUCAAACGUGCUGUUAUAUCACAACAAGGUCUGUCAUAUCACAGCAACACAGUGAAAGAAAUUAAGGAUUUCACAGCAUUAAACAGUAUUAUUACAGUGAAAUAUUGAAUUGAAAUAUGAUCUGGGAAGUCACAUGACAUAACCGAACUGUUUUGAACAGAAGGCGCCAUCGUGUCCCUCUUCUAUUCCGGGCUGAAUGGAGAAGGUGAGCAGCAUGCAUGUUUGCAGCACUUACACCCAUGUUAUUUUAAUAUGAUAAUAAAAUUUACUUUCAAAUAAACGUUUAUCGCAUGACACAGUUCACAUUUUGUUAGCAAUUGCCCGGAAUUGUUGAAAGUUCUCUCACAGCAUUUGCUAAUAGUAGUAAUGUUUGUAAUAACGAGAGUUUCGCUAUACUUUUUCAUGUCACUAUCACCGUUUAGACAAAUCUGUUGUUUGUAAAGUUUAUAAAACCAACGAUGGGACAAACAUUACUAUUUAUGUGUGCACAUUUCUGUAAUUAGUCAAGGUUAUCAUAGAUUAGCAGGGCUAACCGUUAGCUGCUUAACUUUAAUAAUUUAGUGAUUCAAACGGUCAAUGAAAAAAUAUUUUUCUAGCGGAUAACCUAGUUACAACAUGACUGAGCUAACUCAAGUAAGUUAGUCUCAUGUCGUGUUCGACAACGGGAGGGUUUUACCAGUUCCCACUUGUCCUUAUAUGAAUAAAUAAUAAUUGUAAAAAUUGUAAAUGCACUUUACAUUGAGUGAGCAAUCUCAAAGUGCUAAAGAAAAAACACACUAUAUGAGUAAUUCUAGAAUUGGGGGUACAUUUCGAGUCUCCCAGAUAAACCUUUUAUUUAAAAAACAAACAAAACUUUUUUGAAUCAGUUUUGAAUAAGAACACAAAUGAUAUUACACUAUCACUAAAAAUAAUGCUUUAUGUAUAUUUAGAAUGCAACUGGGACUACAUUCAUGUGCUGCGUGAUAUCACUGCGCCCAUGGUACGUUUGCAACGUUCCUUGAUUAUUACGCCAGAAUGAGAGUAUAGUUCCAUGUCAAAUCAGCCUAGAAAAUUGCCACGUUUCAUUUUCUGUUAGUUUUAUUGCACGUUCUAACUUGAGAAGAGACCACUUUUAAAUAGGAAAAAUUCCUGAAAUCUUAGUCACUUUGCGGGCGAGAUGCUAAUGGUCUAAUCCAAUCCAAUGAUCUAUGCUCGGCUGGAGCUAUACGUGGUAUCGCCAGACUCAGGGAACUGCUGGAUGAACGGGAGAAAGGUAAAAAUCAAUUGUUUUACUCGAGGGGAGGUGGAAAAUGAUCUUAAUUCCCCAAAUGGUCGAAUAUCCCUUUAAUUAGUUUGAUAAAAUACACCUGUGUUUACAACACUAUUACACUGAAUAUUACUUCUGUGGGAUGGGUCUAUUUAGACAGUCACAACAGGGAAUCAAACUGCUGACCCUUCAGUCAUGAGACGACUUGCUCCAACUUCUGAGCUAUAACCGUCCCCAAUAGUAUUGUUACCCUGUGAUGCCCACUCCUAGGAUUGUCAGGUGGGGCCCAGCAGAUUUGCCAGAGGGGAGGCAACGUUGGAGAAUAUGAAGAGGGAUCUGCUGAACAUCUACUCAGGCAUGCCAUCUACUGUCUUUUUGGAGGAAGGAAUGAGUGGGGCAGAGAGAGCAGAACCAAUGAUGGAAAAGACAUACGUCAUCCUGCGGAAAUACCUUAACAAAGUGCAUGCUGCAGCGAUGUCUGCGAUCAACAGGAAUGGCCAUUUCUCUUCUCUGAGAAAUGCCUAUUCUCACACUUUGGCCUCCUGAUGGACGUAAAUGUCCUUCAGAAGCUACAGGAGGAAAUAAGUCGACGAGGAAAGACCAUCUUUGAUUACUGUGCAACACUGGACAACCCCAAGAUCUGUGAUGUUCUGGCCUGCUAUGAUCCGGACUCUGACAAGGCUGCCUGCAUCCUGCUGCUCCUAAUGUUGUACUUCAAAGAGAGUUUGAAGCUUGAAGUUGAUCCAUGUGCCACUGUUGUGGACGUCAAAACUCCCCAGCACCCCCUGCUUGAUCAUUCAAGGUGACAUGAUGAAGCCCUCUGGAUGGCUUAUAUCCAUCGAGGGACAUGACGUGAUGGGCCCACACCCUUUCUUUUUACACGGAGUAGCAGCUUUCUUCAGCUGCUAUUACGUCUUCAACAUUGAGUAUCCUGCCGCUGGAUCGUCCACGCUGGAGUUCAUUCAAAGGUGCUUCCUGGGCAUCAAUCCUGAAAGAGGCUCAAAGACCAAGAAGCGGACAACAAUGAACUCUCAUGUGAGCACCCUUUUGAGGAAACUUAUUGACUUUGAGUGGGCAUCAUCGCUUUUUUUGCAGCGGUAGUUGUCAGGCUCAGUUUUGAGUAGCCUUGUUCUUUUUGUAAUUUUUCAAGACAACUUUGCACUACAAAAUUUUUACACAAUGCUGUUGCGUGUGGACUCAUUAUAAUGUUUGAGACUGAAAGGAGCGCCUGACCCCUUUACGACAUUCCUUCAUCGCUCUCUCCCUUGCUCUCUUGCCAUCAAGGCCUCAUUCCCAUCCUGUCCAUUACUGUUAUUGUGACACAGCUAGUUGAAUAGUUGAAUUGUGAGAUAGGUAGUUGAAUUACAAGUUUGCCCAAUUUCUAUGCAUUUUCUGUAUUUUAA